AUGCUGAUAACAUUCAGCUGUAUUGUUCUUUUAAGGUUUCUGAGUUUCAUAAAUUGUCUAGUUUAACUGAUUGCCAGACUGAAAUCAAGCAAUGGUUAAAUGAUAACACCCUCCAGAGAAACA
Molecule: long non-coding RNA, 123 nt
Organism: Thalassophryne amazonica
Lineage: Eukaryota; Metazoa; Chordata; Actinopteri; Batrachoidiformes; Batrachoididae
Exons: 3
Source: RefSeq, a predicted model, not a curated record